Molecule: ribosomal RNA, 251 nt
Filed under: uncultured prokaryote
Description: partial 16S rRNA
Rfam family: Bacterial small subunit ribosomal RNA
Source: RNAcentral
ACGGAGGGGGCUAGCGUUGUUCGGAAUUACUGGGCGUAAAGCGCACGUAGGCGGUUAUUUAAGUCAGGGGUGAAAGCCCGGAGCUCAACUCCGGAAUAGCCCUUGAGACUGGAUAGCUAGAAUCACGGAGAGGUGGGUGGAAUUCCGAGUGUAGAGGUGAAAUUCGUAGAUAUUCGGAAGAACACCAGUGGCGAAGGCGGCCCACUGGACGUGUAUUGACGCUGAGGUGCGAAAGCGUGGGGAGCAAACAG